CCCUUAGAUGUCCUGGGCCGCACGCGCGUUACACUGAUGCAUUCAACGAGCUUAUAACCUUGGCCGAGAGGCCUGGGCAAUCUUGUUAACGUGCAUCGUGAUAGGGAUAGAUUAUUGAAAUUAUUAAUCUUGAACGAGGAAUUCCUAGUAAACGCAGAUCAUCAAUUUGCAUUGAUUACGUCCCUGCCCUUUGUACACACCGCCCGUCGCACCUACCGAUUGAAUGGUCCGGUGAAGCCUCGGGAUUGUGGCCAGUUCACUUUAUUGGGAGUUGGCUGUGAGAACUUGUCUAAACCUUAUCAUUUAGAGGAAGGUGAAGUCGUAACA
RNAcentral lists this ribosomal RNA (327 nucleotides) under uncultured eukaryote. RNAcentral's name for it is "partial 18S ribosomal RNA". It matches the Rfam family "Eukaryotic small subunit ribosomal RNA", at positions 1470 to 1796 of the family's 1831-position model. The record is from RNAcentral.